This is a small nucleolar RNA of Spea bombifrons (plains spadefoot toad), 81 nucleotides long. Lineage: Eukaryota; Metazoa; Chordata; Amphibia; Anura; Pelobatidae. The record is from RefSeq and is a predicted model, not a curated record.
CGCGUAUGAUGAACCUUUACUUUUGCUGCUGAAAUCCUGAAUUCUCACUGUGGAUAACAACCUUGGAGAACUGAGCGCUCG